UUAUCGGAGAGUUUGAUCCUGGCUCAGGACGAACGCUGGCGGCGUGCCUAAUACAUGCAAGUCGAGCGGACAGAUGGGAGCUUGCUCCCUGAUGUUAGCGGCGGACGGGUGAGUAACACGUGGGUAACCUGCCUGUAAGACUGGGAUAACUCCGGGAAACCGGGGCUAAUACCGGAUGGUUGUUUGAACCGCAUGGUUCAAACAUAAAAGGUGGCUUCGGCUACCACUUACAGAUGGACCCGCGGCGCAUUAGCUAGUUGGUGAGGUAACGGCUCACCAAGGCAACGAUGCGUAGCCGACCUGAGAGGGUGAUCGGCCACACUGG
RNAcentral lists this ribosomal RNA (325 nucleotides) under Bacillus subtilis. RNAcentral's name for it is "bacterial SSU rRNA". It matches the Rfam family "Bacterial small subunit ribosomal RNA", at positions 1 to 316 of the family's 1533-position model. The record is from RNAcentral. Lineage: Bacteria; Bacillati; Bacillota; Bacilli; Caryophanales; Bacillaceae.